This 301-nucleotide ribosomal RNA is filed under the name uncultured bacterium. RNAcentral's name for it is "partial 16S ribosomal RNA". It matches the Rfam family "Bacterial small subunit ribosomal RNA", at positions 509 to 807 of the family's 1533-position model. The record is from RNAcentral.
CAGUAGCCGCGGUAAUACGUAGGUGGCAAGCGUUGUCCGGAAUUAUUGGGCGUAAAGGGCUCGCAGGCGGUUUCUUAAGUCUGAUGUGAAAGCCCCCGGCUCAACCGGGGAGGGUCAUUGGAAACUGGGAAACUUGAGUGCAGAAGAGGAGAGUGGAAUUCCACGUGUAGCGGUGAAAUGCGUAGAGAUGUGGAGGAACACCAGUGGCGAAGGCGACUCUCUGGUCUGUAGCUGACGCUGAGGAGCGAAAGCGUGGGGAGCGAACAGGAUUAGAUACCCGCGUAGUCCCUGUCUCUUAUAC